GAUGAAGAACGUAGCGAAAUGCGAUAAGUAGUGUGAAUUGCAGAAUUCAGUGAAUCAUCGAAUCUUUGAACGCACAUUGCGCCCCUUGGUAUUCCAUGGGGCAUGCCUGUUCGAGCGUCAUUUGUACCCUCAAGCUCUGCUUGGUGUUGGGUCCCGUAGGGGUGCGAAUCUCAACGGACCUCAAAGAUAGUGGCAGAGCCCGUACGGACCCUGGAUGCAGCGAGCUUUCUGGCACGCAUCACAGCAAUCCGCCGGCUCGGUCUUAACCGUCAAUUUUUUUUCACUGGUUGACCUCGGAUCAGGUAGGGAUACCCGCUGAACUUAAGCAUAUCAAUAAGCGGAGGA
This 345-nucleotide unclassified non-coding RNA is filed under the name soil metagenome. Its description in RNAcentral is "partial contains 5.8S ribosomal RNA, internal transcribed spacer 2, and large subunit ribosomal RNA". The stretch from base 1 to 120 matches the Rfam family "5.8S ribosomal RNA", at positions 35 to 154 of the family's 154-position model. The record is from RNAcentral.